This is a small nucleolar RNA of Diceros bicornis minor, 81 nucleotides long. RefSeq annotates it as small nucleolar RNA SNORD115. The transcript has a single exon. NCBI's taxonomy places the organism in Eukaryota, Metazoa, Chordata, Mammalia, Perissodactyla, Rhinocerotidae. The record is from RefSeq and is a predicted model, not a curated record.
GCAUCAGUUAUGAGACCUCACGUUGUAUUGAAGAGAUCUGAAUACCUAAAAAUCAUGCUCAAGGGGAUUACACUGAGGCCC